GUGCCAGCCGCCGCGGUAAUACGGAGGGUGCGAGCGUUGUUCGGAAUUAUUGGGCGUAAAGCGCGUGUAGGCGGCUCCUUAAGUCUGAUGUGAAAGCCCCGGGCUCAACCUGGGAAGUGCAUUGGAAACUGGGGAACUUGAAUACGGGAGAGGGUAGUGGAAUUCCUGGUGUAGGAGUGAAAUCCGUAGAUAUCAGGAGGAACACCGGUGGCGAAGGCGGCUACCUGGACCGAUAUUGACGCUGAGACGCGAAAGCGUGGGGAGCAAACAGGAUUAGAUACCCCUGUAGUCC
RNAcentral lists this ribosomal RNA (292 nucleotides) under uncultured bacterium. RNAcentral describes it as "partial 16S ribosomal RNA". It matches the Rfam family "Bacterial small subunit ribosomal RNA", at positions 505 to 796 of the family's 1533-position model. The record is from RNAcentral.